CCGCAAGUCCGGACGUCGCGACAGCGGCGCGUCCAAGUCCUUCUUGAAAGAGGCCGAACCACCCGCAGAGGGUGCCAGGCCCGUAGGACCGCCGCCCGGCGUCGGGUCGGAUCUCUCCCUAGAGUCGGGUUGCUCGGGAUUGCAGCCCUAAGCAGGUGGUAAACUCCAUCUAAGGCUAAAUACGACCACGAGACCGAUAGCGAACAAGUACCGCGAGGGAAAGUUGAAAAGAACUUUGAAGAGAGAGUUCAAGAGUACGUGAAACCGUUCGGGGGUAAACCUGAGGAACCCGAAAGAUCGAAAGCCGAGAUACAGCGUCCGGCGCCGCGGGCGAUGCGGCGGCGGCGUGCACUUCUCGGCCGGUAGGACGUCGCGACCCGUUGGGAGUCGCCGACGCAGGAAGGGGACGCGCGGGAAGCUCGAGGCGGCGCGGCGGGACUCGUUCCCGUCGUCUUUGCGUUGCCCCUCGAACCCGCCGCGCCCUCAAAUAGGCGCUCGGCACGCCCGACGCGGCACUCAAACACAGACCGAUGCGUUCGUUCGGCGGUGCGCCUUCGCGGCGCGCCCGACGCCGUCGCGGCCGACGCCCCUCCUAGCGGAGGCGGCGCGCCGCGGCGGUAGGUCUCGGGCGUGUGCUCGCACACACCGACGUCCGAUCGUCGGCGACGCUUUUGCUUCGGGCGUCUUCAGGACCCGUCUUGAAACAC
This 707-nucleotide ribosomal RNA is filed under the name Pyrocoelia rufa. Its description in RNAcentral is "eukaryotic LSU rRNA". It matches the Rfam family "Eukaryotic large subunit ribosomal RNA", at positions 163 to 662 of the family's 3401-position model. The record is from RNAcentral. Lineage: Eukaryota; Metazoa; Arthropoda; Insecta; Coleoptera; Lampyridae.